This 869-nucleotide ribosomal RNA is filed under the name uncultured fungus. RNAcentral describes it as "eukaryotic LSU rRNA". The stretch from base 526 to 869 matches the Rfam family "Eukaryotic large subunit ribosomal RNA", at positions 1 to 335 of the family's 3401-position model. The record is from RNAcentral. Lineage: Eukaryota; Fungi.
GGAAGGAUCAUUAUUGAAUUAGCGAGGGCUGUCUGCUGGCCCCUUCGGGGGCAUGUGCACGUCCGAGCCGUUUAAAUCAACACCUGUGAACUCACCGUAGGCCUUCGGGCUUAUGUAUCAUAUAUAUAUAUACUCAGAUCAUAGAAUGUACAUUUUGCCUUUAAAAAAGCAAUCAAAUACAACUUUCAACAACGGAUCUCUUGGCUCUCGCAUCGAUGAAGAACGCAGCGAAAUGCGAUAAGUAAUGUGAAUUGCAGAUUUUCAGUGAAUCAUCGAAUCUUUGAACGCACCUUGCGCUCCUUGGUAUUCCGAGGAGCAUGCCUGUUUGAGUGUCAUUAAAUCCUCAACCCCGUCCGUCGGUCGGGGCUUGGACUUUGGAGCGUGCUGGCGAAGGUCGGCUCCUCUUUAAAUGCAUCAGCGGAGAAAAACAAACCUUUUUUCCCCCUUCAGCGUGAUAACUGUGUUGCGCUGUGGUCGCGAAAGGGUCCGCUCAUAAUCGUCCUCGGACAAACACCGAAUCUGUUUUGACCUCAGAUCAGGUAGGACUACCCGCUGAACUUAAGCAUAUCAAUAAGCGGAGGAAAAGAAACUAACAAGGAUUCCCCUAGUAACUGCGAGUGAAGCGGGAAAAGCUCAAAUUUAAAAUCUGGCGGUCCUCUGGCCGUCCGAGUUGUAAUCUGGAGAAGCGUUUUCCGCGUCGGACCGUGUACAAGUCUUCUGGAACGGAGCGUCAUAGAGGGUGAGAAUCCCGUCUCUGACACGGACCGCCGACGCUUUAUGUGAUACGCUCUCGAAGAGUCGAGUUGUUUGGGAAUGCAGCUCAAAAUGGGUGGUAAAUUCCAUCUAAAGCUAAAUACUGGCGAGAGACC